UAGGGAAUAUUGGACAAUGGGGGCAACCCUGAUCCAGCCAUGCCGCGUGAGUGAAGAAGGCCCUCGGGUUGUAAAGCUCUUUUGUCCGGAAAGAAAAGCUUCGGGUUAAUACCCCGGGGUUCUGACGGUACCGGAAGAAUAAGCACCGGCUAACUUCGUGCCAGCAGCCGCGGUAAUACGAAGGGUGCAAGCGUUACUCGGAAUUACUGGGCGUAAAGCGUGCGUAGGUGGUUGUUUAAGUCUGAUGUGAAAGCCCUGGGCUCAACCUGGGAAUGGCAUUGGAAACUGGGCAGCUAGAGUGCGGUAGAGGGUAGUGGAAUUCCCGGUGUAGCAGUGAAAUGCGUAGAUAUCAGGAGGAACACCAGUGGCGAAGGCGGCCUUCUGGACGGCUACUGACGCUGAGACGCGAAAGCGUGGGGA
This 420-nucleotide ribosomal RNA is filed under the name uncultured bacterium. Its description in RNAcentral is "bacterial SSU rRNA". It matches the Rfam family "Bacterial small subunit ribosomal RNA", at positions 355 to 767 of the family's 1533-position model. The record is from RNAcentral.